AUGGGAGGGGCUUGGGUACAAUUCCGAAUACGCUAUUAUAUGUUUGCGCUUGUUUUUGUUGUUUUUGAUGUGGAAACCGUCUUUCUAUACCCUUGGGCAAUGAGUUUCGACGUAUUGGGUGUAUCCGUUUUUAUCGAAGCUUUGAUUUUCGUGCUUAUCUUAGUUGUUGGUUUAGUUUAUGCAUGGCGAAAAGGAGCCUUGGAAUGGUCUUAA
Molecule: ribosomal RNA, 213 nt
Filed under: Triticum aestivum (bread wheat)
Lineage: Eukaryota; Viridiplantae; Streptophyta; Magnoliopsida; Poales; Poaceae
Description: partial small subunit ribosomal RNA
Source: RNAcentral